Molecule: ribosomal RNA, 1816 nt
Filed under: metagenome
Description: bacterial LSU rRNA
Rfam family: Bacterial large subunit ribosomal RNA
Source: RNAcentral
GAAAGCGUAAUAGCUCACUAGUCGAGUCGGCCUGCGCGGAAGAUGUAACGGGGCUCAAACCAGGCACCGAAGCCGCGGAUUCACACUUAUGUGUGAGUGGUAGGGGAGCGUUCUGUAAGUCUGCGAAGGUGUAUCGAGAGGUAUGCUGGAGAUAUCAGAAGUGCGAAUGCUGACGUAAGUAACGAUAAAGGGGGUGAAAAGCCUCCUCGCCGGAAGACCAAGGGUUCCUGUCCAACGUUAAUCGGGGCAGGGUGAGUCGACCCCUAAGGCGAGGCCGAAAGGCGUAGUCGAUGGGAAGCAGGUUAAUAUUCCUGCACGACUUGUAAUUGCGAUGGGGGGACGGAGAAGGCUAGGUGGGCCAGGCGACGGUUGUCCUGGUGAAAGUGCGUAGGUGGUGUUUCUAGGCAAAUCCGGAGACACAACACUGAGACACGAGACGAACACACUACGGUGUGGAAGCCAUUGAUGCCCUGCUUCCAGGAAAAGCCUCUAAGCUUCAGAUUACAAGUCAUCGUACCCCAAACCGACACAGGUGGUCGGGUAGAGAAUACCAAGGCGCUUGAGAGAACUCGGGUGAAGGAACUAGGCAAAAUAGAACCGUAACUUCGGGAGAAGGUUCGCUCUUGACAGUGAAGUCCCUUGCGGAUGGAGCAGUUGGGAGUCGCAGUGACCAGAUGGCUGGGACUGUUUAUCAAAAACACAGCACUCUGCAAACACGAAAGUGGACGUAUAGGGUGUGACACCUGCCCGGUGCCGGAAGGUUAAUUGAUGGGGUUAGCGCAAGCGAAGCUCUUGAUCGAAGCCCCGGUAAACGGCGGCCGUAACUAUAACGGUCCUAAGGUAGCGAAAUUCCUUGUCGGGUAAGUUCCGACCUGCACGAAUGGUGUAACCAUGGCCAUGCUGUCUCCACCCGAGACUCAGUGAAAUCGAAUUCGCCGUGAAGAUGCGGUGUACCCGCGGCUAGACGGAAAGACCCCGUGAACCUUUACUACAGCUUGGCACUGAACAUUGAACCUACAUGUGUAGGAUAGGUGGGAGGCUUUGAAGGCGUGACGCCAGUUGCGCUGGAGCCGUCCUUGAAAUACCACCCUUGUAUGUUUGAUGUUCUAACGCAGGGCCCUGAAUCGGGCUCGCGGACAGUGCCUGGUGGGUAGUUUGACUGGGGCGGUCUCCUCCCAAAGAGUAACGGAGGAGCACGAAGGUUGGCUAAUCCUGGUCGGACAUCAGGAGGUUAGUGCAAUGGCAUAAGCCAGCUUGACUGCGAGCGUGACGGCGCGAGCAGGUGCGAAAGCAGGUCAUAGUGAUCCGGUGGUUCUGAAUGGAAGGGCCAUCGCUCAACGGAUAAAAGGUACUCCGGGGAUAACAGGCUGAUACCGCCCAAGAGUUCAUAUCGACGGCGGUGUUUGGCACCUCGAUGUCGGCUCAUCACAUCCUGGGGCUGAAGUCGGUCCCAAGGGUAUGGCUGUUCGCCAUUUAAAGUGGUACGCGAGCUGGGUUCAGAACGUCGUGAGACAGUUCGGUCCCUAUCUGCCGUGGGCGUUGGAUGAUUGAAGGGAGUUGCUCCUAGUACGAGAGGACCGGAGUGAACGAACCUCUGGUGUUCGGGUUGUCACGCCAGUGGCACUGCCCGGUAGCUAAGUUCGGAAUCGAUAACCGCUGAAAGCAUCUAAGCGGGAAGCGAGCCCUGAGAUGAGUCAUCCCUGACCCCUUGAGGGUCCUAAAGGGCCGUUGGAGACCACAACGUUGAUAGGUGGGGUGUGUAAGCGCGGCGACGUGUUGAGCUAACCCAUACUAAUUACCCGUGAGGCUUAACCAU